Molecule: ribosomal RNA, 387 nt
Filed under: Escherichia coli
Lineage: Bacteria; Pseudomonadati; Pseudomonadota; Gammaproteobacteria; Enterobacterales; Enterobacteriaceae
Description: bacterial SSU rRNA
Rfam family: Bacterial small subunit ribosomal RNA
Source: RNAcentral
CGUCAGCUCGUGUUGUGAAAUGUUGGGUUAAGUCCCGCAACGAGCGCAACCCUUAUCCUUUGUUGCCAGCGGUCCGGCCGGGAACUCAAAGGAGACUGCCAGUGAUAAACUGGAGGAAGGUGGGGAUGACGUCAAGUCAUCAUGGCCCUUACGACCAGGGCUACACACGUGCUACAAUGGCGCAUACAAAGAGAAGCGACCUCGCGAGAGCAAGCGGACCUCAUAAAGUGCGUCGUAGUCCGGAUUGGAGUCUGCAACUCGACUCCAUGAAGUCGGAAUCGCUAGUAAUCGUGGAUCAGAAUGCCACGGUGAAUACGUUCCCGGGCCUUGUACACACCGCCCGUCACACCAUGGGAGUGGGUUGCAAAAGAAGUAGGUAGCUUAACC